CCCUACUUUGAAUCAUUGUAGUGAAGAAUAUAUGCAUCAAGGUUACUCACCUCCUUUCCUUGUUUCCUUUUACUUACCAUGGCUAGGAUUUGUUUUCCUCAAGAGAGACCAUACAUGCACAUAUUUUUUGAUUAGGACUUUUCCUAGCUUUCAGAGUGACUUGCCCUUACCUUGAAGUACUUUAUUCAGGCUUUUGCACUUAGAUCUUGCUUGAACAAGUCACCAACCUAUUGAGAUGAAAGUUUAUAUUUUCAGUUGGUCACUUGUCCAAGUGGCUACUAGCUCUGUUCAUAGUCUUUUG
RNAcentral lists this long non-coding RNA (301 nucleotides) under Manihot esculenta (cassava). RNAcentral's name for it is "long non-coding RNA (MESC_LNC006684)". Lineage: Eukaryota; Viridiplantae; Streptophyta; Magnoliopsida; Malpighiales; Euphorbiaceae. The record is from RNAcentral.